CCACAAGACUCUCGGCAACGGAUAUCUUGGCUCUCACAUCGAUGAAGAACGUAGCAAAAUGCGAUACCUGGUGUGAAUUGCAGAAUCCCGUGAACCAUCGAGUUUUUGAACGCAAGUUGCGCCUGAGGCCACUUGGUCGAGGGCACGUCUGCCUGGGCGUCACAC
This 165-nucleotide ribosomal RNA is filed under the name Sporobolus diandrus. RNAcentral describes it as "5.8S ribosomal RNA". It matches the Rfam family "5.8S ribosomal RNA". From Rfam's summary of the family: 5.8S ribosomal RNA (5.8S rRNA) is a component of the large subunit of the eukaryotic ribosome. It is transcribed by RNA polymerase I as part of the 45S precursor that also contains 18S and 28S rRNA. Lineage: Eukaryota; Viridiplantae; Streptophyta; Magnoliopsida; Poales; Poaceae. The record is from RNAcentral.